RNAcentral lists this ribosomal RNA (468 nucleotides) under uncultured bacterium. RNAcentral describes it as "partial 16S ribosomal RNA". It matches the Rfam family "Bacterial small subunit ribosomal RNA", at positions 28 to 507 of the family's 1533-position model. The record is from RNAcentral.
GACGAACGCUGGCGGCGUGCUUAACACAUGCAAGUCGAACGGAAAGGCGCUGCUCUUGUGGCGUGCUCGAGUGGCGAACGGGUGAGUAACACGCGAGUAACCUGCCCUUGACUUUGGGAUAACUUCAGGAAACUGGGGCUCAUAUCGGAUAGGAGCUCCUGCUCCGUGGUGUGCGUUGGAAAGAUGCGGCGGUUGGGGAUGGACUCGCGGCUUAUGAGCUUGCUAGUGGGGUAGUGGCUUACAAGGGCUUUGAAGGGUAGCCUGCAUGAGCGGGUGACCGGCCACAUUGCGACUGCGGGACGGCGCAGAAGCCUACGGGACGCAGCGGUGGAGAGUAUUGCACAAUAGGCGCGAGCCUGAGACAGCAGCGCUGCGUGCGUGAUGACGUGCUACGGGUUGUAAACAACUUUCGCCUGUGACGAAGAGUGAGUGACGGUACCUAGUAAGGAAGCCCCGGCUAACUACGUG